CCUANGGGGGGCAGCAGUGGGGAAUCUUGCGCAAUGGGCGAAAGCCUGACGCAGCAACGCCGCGUGCGGGAUGAAGGCCCUCGGGUUGUAAACCGCUUUCAGCAGGGACGAAGAUGACGGUACCUGCAGAAGAAGCCCCGGCCAACUACGUGCCAGCAGCCGCGGUAACACGUAGGGGGCGAGCGUUGUCCGGAUUUAUUGGGCGUAAAGAGCUCGUAGGCGGUUCCGUCAGUCGGGUGUGAAAACUCUGGGCUCAACCCAGAGACGCCACCCGAUACUGCGGUGACUAGAGUCCGGUAGGGGAGUGCGGAAUUCCUGGUGUAGCGGUGAAAUGCGCAGAUAUCAGGAGGAACACCAACGGCGAAGGCAGCACUCUGGGCCGGUACUGACGCUGAGGAGCGAAAGCGUGGGGAGCGAACAGGAUUAGAUACCCCGNUANUC
RNAcentral lists this ribosomal RNA (441 nucleotides) under uncultured bacterium. Its description in RNAcentral is "bacterial SSU rRNA". It matches the Rfam family "Bacterial small subunit ribosomal RNA", at positions 338 to 795 of the family's 1533-position model. The record is from RNAcentral.